This 236-nucleotide ribosomal RNA is filed under the name uncultured bacterium. Its description in RNAcentral is "partial 16S ribosomal RNA". It matches the Rfam family "Bacterial small subunit ribosomal RNA", at positions 15 to 248 of the family's 1533-position model. The record is from RNAcentral.
GAUCCUGGCUCAGGACGAACGCUGGCGGCGCGCCUAACACAUGCAAGUCGAACGAGAGAGAGGGAGCUUGCUUCCUUGAUCGAGUGGCGAACGGGUGAGUAACGCGUGAGGAACCUGCCUCAAAGAGGGGGACAACAGUUAGAAAUGACUGCUAAUACCGCAUAAGCGCACGGUACCGCAUGGUACAGUGUGAAAAACUCCGGUGGUGUGAGAUGGAUCCGCGUCUGAUUAGGUAG